GCGGGCGUAGUUCAGUGGUAGAACGUCAGCUUCCCAAGCUGAAUGUCGUGGGUUCGACUCCCAUCGCCCGCU
This 72-nucleotide transfer RNA is filed under the name Oscillatoriales cyanobacterium SM2_1_8. RNAcentral describes it as "tRNA-Gly". It matches the Rfam family "tRNA". From Rfam's summary of the family: Transfer RNA (tRNA) molecules are approximately 80 nucleotides in length. Their secondary structure includes four short double-helical elements and three loops (D, anti-codon, and T loops). RNAcentral also lists the same sequence under 2 other names. Lineage: Bacteria; Bacillati; Cyanobacteriota; Cyanophyceae; Oscillatoriales. The record is from RNAcentral.